AAAACACAAUGGAUCCAUGUUCUUAGGAAAGUAGCCGAGAAACACCAAGUGUGCCAGCAAAAAUCAUGCUUCCACAGCUGGCACAACCACAACCUUUAGUUUCCUAUCCUUAGAGAGAUACAAGAAGAGAUCAGUCCUCUAUAGAAAAUUUACAGGAAUUUAUAUCACAGUUCACAUCUUCUUAAUUAACUCCUAUUGCAAUUUGCUAUGUCCACUACUCCUUGUACAACAACUAAUCUUAGCUUUAACAUAUGGUUGUGCGGUUAUCUUGCAUUGCUUAUAUUAUUCACAUGUGCAUGUGCAUGUUCAUGUUCAUGAUGUGAAACUCUUCACGUCCAAGCAUCAAACUGAAUUAACAUGUUCUUCCAAUGAUCUUGUAGACCCUUUAAAAAAUGGUUGAUUGUAGACAUACCACCAUUUCCUGCAACGACGGUGCACAGAGGGCAAGGUAAUGCCCCUCUAGCUUCAAGAAAUAUCUUAAAUGAACCGAAUUUAUAACACCUAAUUACAGUGCUAAGAGCAAUAUAGAACAAAUUUGACAUUCAAUACAUUUGCACCUACUAUUCAUACCUAGUCAAUAAUAUCUUAAUAAAUAUAGUAGAUUAGUUUGGUGGCAAGAAUAUGGCAAAGAUACAUUAAGAUAAGUAGAAUGGAAUAGCAGAUUCACUUGAAGGCAGCGUGAUUCCAGCAUUAACCAAUGUAAAUAACCACCUAUAAAUACUCUAUACUUGAGAGCUAAAAAGGUUUCAGGAAACCAUUAAAUAUUAUAAGAUGAGGAACACAUACCUAUAACAUUUCGAGUGCAAGAAAUUUUUGGAUCUACAUCUACAACUAAAACAUGAAGCAUAAUAGAGGCCUUUUUGCAGUGAACAGUGGAGAGAAACAAAGAGAAAAUGUAUGAGUGUAUUACUUACUCACUGAAACGAAAAACAAUUGCUAAUACACAGUACAUUAAUAGUGAAACUGAUUGUUUUAGACUGCUUUUGCUAUACUUCACCCAAAAACUUCAAAAGUAAUCCUCAUAAAACUGGUCCCAGAAACCUGCAGUUGAAAAGGACUUGAAACCCCAUCCUAGUUCACUGAGCAGAAUAAAAAGAUGGCGUGCCUGAGGUUGAAGGACAUAUUUUUUUUGAAGCCAUGAUAUGAGAAAAAUGGUUGAUGUAUAACUGAAAUUUGGUUAUAUGGGUUAAACAUUGGAUCCUAAGAUCUUGCAAAACCUAUGAACAAAUAAAAGGAACCAACCUGAACAAGAAACAAUUCUACGAGAAAGACAACCAGCUGAAUAUUUAAUUACCGAUGAUGUGUAUUGAGUUCCACCAUAAACUUCGGAGCAAAGGUAGCAACGUGAGAAAUUAUGAUAUAUUUGGCUCAUCUACCACCUGACUGAAUAGAGCAACGGAAAUCACAGCAAAUUAUAAGGAAUGUAAAAUCAAAGUACUAUGCAGGGUGAUAAUGCCAUUCAGCGCAAGACUGGAAGAGAACACCGCUGACUUCACCAUGUUGGAGCCUGUGCUGAAAGCAUAUAUCACUCACUCCUUUCCUGCAAACUCCACAAGGGAUUUGACUAAACUAUACACUGAUGAUCCCAAACUAAAUACGAUGAAAAAGAAGUUCUAACUAAUGUAACACAAGUAAAUUACCAUAUGUGUGUACCUACAUUUUCUAAAAAAGAAUUACACGUGUACCUUCUGUGAUCGACGUGGGCUGCUUCCCAACUAAAUUUGAAUCGCAAAGGGCAACAUUGUAGCCUGUAUGUUACCACUAAUUCAAAUUGUGGAGUGAAUCAUAAGCAUCAGGAGGAAGAGACACAUGUCGUGUACUGUAUGCGAACAUAUCAAAAUGGGCACAAACGUGUAGGAUGUAGUUCAUAUACAUAAGACUCAGAGUUGACAAAAUAUGAUAUUACAUCAAGAAAUGCUCAGACGUUCUUAGUUCUUGCCAACCUCUUGCUACAUGAUUAAAGCAUUUUCUCGAGCAUCUAGUUAGCAUCCUGUUGACCAAGUGCUUCGUGUUGUAAUCAUCCUAUAUAAAGACAAUCUUCAACAAUAGCAGAUCUGAUAUUGGUGACCGACAGAUGAACUCCACAAAGACAACACGAAGCAAGCAAAGCAACAGACUAAAAUCGAUUGGGGGAAAAACAACAUACCUUCCAAAAUCCAAUCGACAGCCUACCUUCGGAGCGGAGAUCCACGCCGCCGUCGGCGACCAAAAGCCUACGCGCCACAGGCGGGUGGGCGGGUACCACGGCGGCCACGGCCACCGCAUCGCAGCAGGCAUAUCGCCUCCGCCAUCCGCGCCUGGUGCCUCUUGAAC
Molecule: long non-coding RNA, 2313 nt
Filed under: Brachypodium distachyon (stiff brome)
Lineage: Eukaryota; Viridiplantae; Streptophyta; Magnoliopsida; Poales; Poaceae
Description: long non-coding RNA (BDIS_LNC004041)
Source: RNAcentral